This 731-nucleotide ribosomal RNA is filed under the name uncultured bacterium. RNAcentral describes it as "bacterial SSU rRNA". It matches the Rfam family "Bacterial small subunit ribosomal RNA", at positions 8 to 729 of the family's 1533-position model. The record is from RNAcentral.
AGAGUUUGAUCCUGGCUCAGAUUGAACGCUGGCGGCGUGCUUAACACAUGCAAGUCGCGCGUGAAAGGACUUCGGUCCGAGUAAAGCGGCGCACGGGUGAGUAACGCGUGGAUGAUCUACCCAUGAGUUGGGAAUAACGGCUGGAAACGGUCGCUAAUACCGAAUACGCUCCGAUUUCAACUUCGGGGGAAAGGUGGCCUCUGCUUGCAAGCUACUGCUCAUGGAUGAGUCCGCGUCCCAUUAGCUAGUUGGUGGGGUAACGGCCCACCAAGGCGACGAUGGGUAGCCGGUCUGAGAGGAUGACCGGCCACACUGGGACUGGAACACGGCCCAGACUCCUACGGGAGGCAGCAGUGGGGAAUAUUGCGCAAUGGGCGAAAGCCUGACGCAGCGACGCCGCGUGAGGGAUGAAGGUCCUCGGAUCGUAAACCUCUGUCAGGAGGGAAGAACCGCCACGGUGCUAAUCAGCCGUGGUCUGACGGUACCUCCAAAGGAAGCACCGGCUAACUCCGUGCCAGCAGCCGCGGUAAUACGGAGGGUGCGAGCGUUAAUCGGAAUCACUGGGCGUAAAGCGCACGUAGGCUGCUUGGUAAGUCAGGGGUGAAAGCCCGCGGCUCAACCGCGGAAUUGCCUUUGAUACUGCCGAGCUAGAGUCCGGGAGAGGGUAGUGGAAUUCCAGAGGGUAGGAGUGAAAUCCGUAGAGAUCUAAUCGAAUUCCCUUCUAAGCGGCC